AGGUGACCAGCAUGCUUUUGGAAAUUCCCAUUUUGUUAAAGUAUAAGAUUCACAUGCCAUUUUUCAUAUAUCAAUACAUUGCAUAAAUAAUCAUCUCUAUAGUAAAACGUUUUCCUAUUUGUGCUUGUGAGCCUGCAUCUGUUAUGAACCCCUAGUAUUUUCUUUUUUUAAUCUACCAUUCAUUUUUCAUUUUUAUCAGGAGCUAUUAAGUAGAACAUCUCUUGAAACUCAAAAACUUGACCUUAUGGCUGAGGUUUCCAACUUGAAGCUCAAGCUAACUGCUGUGGAAAAAGACAGGUUAGACUAUGGAGACAGAUUCCGAGACACAGAGGGUUUGAUGCAGGAAAUUAAUGAAUUACGCUUAAAAGUGGGAGAAAUGGAUAGUGAGAGAAUUCAAUAUGAGAAAAAAUUUAAAUCUACCAAA
Molecule: non-coding RNA, 424 nt
Organism: Anolis sagrei ordinatus
Lineage: Eukaryota; Metazoa; Chordata; Lepidosauria; Squamata; Anolidae
Source: RefSeq, a predicted model, not a curated record